GACGAACGCUGGCGGCGUGCUUAACACAUGCAAGUCGAGCGGUAAGGCCCUUUCGGGGGUACACGAGCGGCGAACGGGUGAGUAACACGUGGGUGACCUGCCCUCAGCUCUGGGAUAAGCCUGGGAAACUGGGUCUAAUACUGGAUAUGACUCCACGGUGCAUGUCGUGGGGUGGAAAGCCUUGUGCGGCUGAGGAUGGGCCCGCGGCCUAUCAGCUUGUUGGUGGGGNGAUGGCCUACCAAGGCGACGACGGGUAGCCGGCCUGAGAGGGCGACCGGCCACACUGGGGCUGAGACACGGCCCAGACUCCUACGGGAGGCAGCAGUGGGGAAUCUUGCGCAAUGGGCGAAAGCCUGACGCAG
RNAcentral lists this ribosomal RNA (362 nucleotides) under uncultured bacterium. Its description in RNAcentral is "bacterial SSU rRNA". It matches the Rfam family "Bacterial small subunit ribosomal RNA", at positions 28 to 391 of the family's 1533-position model. The record is from RNAcentral.